Molecule: long non-coding RNA, 247 nt
Filed under: Elaeis guineensis (African oil palm)
Lineage: Eukaryota; Viridiplantae; Streptophyta; Magnoliopsida; Arecales; Arecaceae
Description: long non-coding RNA (EGUI_LNC007508)
Source: RNAcentral
GUGCUCUUCUUACCCACAGAUCCUCUAGAUUUCAGAUCGAAACAUCCUCCUUUGGAUGAAAAGAUGGAAGAAGAAAGAAAGAGAUGGAACCAUGGAAAGGAGAUGGAUGAGAGGUUAGGAUGGUAGCUUUUUGGGAUGUGGAGAGGGAUUGAAUGAUUUCCUAGGUUGAAGUGUUGGAGGCUUUUUAUAGAUGCUAGAAAGCAUAAAGUUUAUUUGACUAGACAAUGUGGGACUAAUGAUUAAUCAA